Long non-coding RNA from Pantherophis guttatus, 1911 nucleotides. RefSeq lists it as uncharacterized. The record is from RefSeq and is a predicted model, not a curated record. Lineage: Eukaryota; Metazoa; Chordata; Lepidosauria; Squamata; Colubridae.
UUGAGGCCUUCUGCGGCUCAAGAUAGUGAAAGGAAAAUGGCAAAAUCUGCUCUGCCAUCAGCUGGCAAAGAAAUGAGAUGCUUCAGCUCAGCAUCAUUUAUGCACCCAACACAAACUUGUGGGUGAUGAAUGCUAAGUGGGUCUGAACGGCAGGAAGGUGGUGGGCAAUGGGCAUCCUGCUGAGGAGGCAAGGGCUCAGGUCGGCCUUCAGCAGCAGCCAACAGCUGGGCUUGGGGGAGCCCAUUCAGCCCUCAGGGCUUGCAAAGCCAAAGUGGACAAUUAUACCCGGGUGGUGGCGGUGGCGGCUGCUUGGAAGGGCCCAUUUAUAGAUGAGCCAGGAGAAGACGCAACCCAGUGAGGGCUACUCAUUGCUGUUUGGGAUGAAUGAAUAGCUCUACAUGGGUUGUUUCUUCUCCUGACCUGGCAGAUCUGGAGAGAUGCCCAAGAUAUUCCCCGUUACGUGUUUAUGAUUGGCAAGCAUCUUUUUUUUUUUUUUUUUUGCUGGCAUUCAGGUUCAUGCUCAGACUAACAAUGCUGGAAGACUCCUUCAAGUGUGUUCAGUCAAGUGCUUAAAAUUGCGCUGCCAACUACUGAAAAAUAUCCAAUGCAAAGAAACCAGGGAAAAUUGCUUUUCACUAGCUUGCAAAUGACCCCGUGAGUGUGUGUUCCUGAAAUAUUCAUGCCUUGUUUCUCCACCACAGGUCUUCACUGUCUAGCAGAGACAGCCUCCCUGACUAGCAUCCACCCUCCGGAAUGCAUGCAGGUGCAGCGAAGGGCUGACAGUUGUGCGUAGCCAGGUGGUUUCCCCAGAGCCAGGACUGGGGCUUGGAGUAUCCAACCACUCAAGGAAUGAGCUGGUUCUUCCUGAAGAAGGGAAGGCUUUGUGUAGGUAGCCAUAAACUUCCCAGGCCUUGAAGUCAUGUGGACCGGUAGUUCUUUUUCCCAUGGGUCUGCUGCCUGGGACGAUGGUUGACCUCCUUCAGCUGUCUGGAACGUCCCUGGUUCUCCUGAUACGAGCCUUCUCACGGCAGAGGGUAGCCCUGGAAGCAGCCUAGCCAGAGACAAAUAGAUGCAGAUCUCUGAUACGCCAGGCGAGGAGUGACUGGGAGAGGAGGGCGAGGGGCAGGGCCAGCCAGUGGUGGGAUCACCCAACAGGGAGCCACAGCAAAGCCACAGCAGAGGGCCCAAAGAGCUGCAUGCGGCUGCGGAGCCGCAGGUUGCUGACCCCUGGGUUAGAAGAUGAGAGCUUCAGACUGGCGCGAUUCUGUCUAUUAAUAAAGCAAAUAAAGAACUGGACUUGAUUGCCUCUCACUGAGUCAUCUUUGGGCCUGACAGGGUCCAGUUGGUGUAUGGAUUCAUGGAUCUUCCUUCUGCCAUCAGCGAAGCUAAAGGAGCCCUUGCUAGUUCUGGCCCCCUUUUUCAGCUAUUCCAAGAGAAGAGAAGAAGCUUCUGCUGGCAUCAAAGUCAAAAGCCAGAGGGAAGGUAGGGGCAGAGACAAGUUUUAUGAAGUGGCAGCUACUUUGAAGUUUCCCCCUUCUUCUGACCUUGUCCUAGGGCAGCACAAAGGUGUUAAUUCUCUGUUAGAAUUUGUCACCUGAUUACCUGAUCAGAAACUGGGAGUGAUUUGAAAGGAAGAUAAUAAAGUCAGGAAAGGACCAGGGAAUUGAGGACAGAAAGUUUCAUGGUGGCUUAAGGAGAGGUGGAGAGAACUUCUGCGCAUGCAGGAGGAAAAGGCCUCAUGUCUUCCCACCAUUACUCUGCCUAGGUUCUUUUUAUCGUUCCCUAUUUUUGUGCAAGCAGCCCAGAGGUACUCCAGAGUCAGGCAAUUCCUAAUUCAAACACCUGCAUAGAUACAACAUCAGGCCUCCCAAAGGUGCUUUUCAAGAGGCAACUGGACUUUCUGGUUUUUGU